RNAcentral lists this unclassified non-coding RNA (239 nucleotides) under Glomeraceae sp. RNAcentral describes it as "partial contains 5.8S ribosomal RNA and internal transcribed spacer 2". The stretch from base 1 to 71 matches the Rfam family "5.8S ribosomal RNA", at positions 84 to 154 of the family's 154-position model. The record is from RNAcentral. Lineage: Eukaryota; Fungi; Glomeromycota; Glomeromycetes; Glomerales; Glomeraceae.
GUGAAUCAUCAAAUCUUUGAACGCAAAUUGCACUCCCUGGUAUUCCGGGGAGUAUGCCUGUUUGAGGGUCGUUAGAAUAAAAAAUCGAGGCGUCGCCCUCUUUUCGAGGGUGCUCGCGUCGGAAUUGAGCCGUUUUUUUAAUGUUAAUUCAUGUCAAAGUGGCUUGAUAUUUAUCCACCUGGUACGAUCAAUGUGUAUUUAAGUUCAAUUUUGUUCAAGAACGGGCGAUGACGUACUAU